UCUCACGAUGCCCUUGCUCUGGCUCUGGACAAAUUCGAUCUUUUAACGCAGGUUUGUUUUUGUUGAAACUAGUUCUUGCAUCUAACUUGUCUCUUGGUUUGCAGAAACCAAAGCAGUCCCUAAUUCUGUACAACUUGUUGGAUCUAUUGCAGUCGCCCUCUUCCCAAGCAGCUACAAUUCAUACUGGUAUAUAUCUCUUUUCGCAAAGAAACUCUUUUUCCUGCCAAUCAACUCAAGUGAGAUCUCGCUUUCGUAAGACAUGAUCCUUUUGCUUCC
This 276-nucleotide long non-coding RNA is filed under the name Selaginella moellendorffii. RNAcentral describes it as "long non-coding RNA (SMOE_LNC001834)". Lineage: Eukaryota; Viridiplantae; Streptophyta; Lycopodiopsida; Selaginellales; Selaginellaceae. The record is from RNAcentral.